AAAAGAGAACGAAAAAAAACAACAAAAAACGAAGAAAAAAAACGAAAAAACGAAAAUAAAUAAAUAAAUAAAAUAUAACAGAUAAUUUUUGGACUUGGGCCUCUCUCAUUUGAGCCCACAGGUCCACAAAAAUCAGGUUAUAAAUUCAGAGUUUCAGUGAAACAAAAGAGAUUCUAUUCCUAUUACCCUGGCUGGGAAAAAGAUAGUGAGAGAAGAGCUAACAGAGUUCAGAGCAACCUCCA
RNAcentral lists this long non-coding RNA (242 nucleotides) under Lathyrus oleraceus (garden pea). RNAcentral describes it as "Pisum sativum (pea) long non-coding RNA (PSAT_LNC002265)". Lineage: Eukaryota; Viridiplantae; Streptophyta; Magnoliopsida; Fabales; Fabaceae. The record is from RNAcentral.